RNAcentral lists this ribosomal RNA (465 nucleotides) under uncultured bacterium. RNAcentral's name for it is "partial 16S ribosomal RNA". It matches the Rfam family "Bacterial small subunit ribosomal RNA", at positions 28 to 507 of the family's 1533-position model. The record is from RNAcentral.
GACGAACGCUGGCGGCGUGCUUAACACAUGCAAGUCGAACGGAAAGGCGCCUUUGUUGGUACUCGAGUGGCGAACGGGGGAGUAACACGUGCGUAACCUUCCCUUGACUUCGGGAUUAGUUCAGGAAACUGGGGCUAAUACCGGAUAGGGAUCCUUGCUGCAUGGGGGGGGUUGGAAAGCUUCGGGGGUUUUGGAUGGACUCGCGGCGUAUCAGCUUGUUGGUGGGGUAGUGGGUUACCAAGGCGUUGGCGGGUGGCCGGCCUGAGAGGGCGACCGGCCACACUGGGACUGAGAUGCGGCACAGGCACCUACGGGACGCAGCAGUGGGGAAUAUUGCACAAUGGGCGGCAGCCUGAUGCAGCAACGCCGCGUGCGGGAUGACGGCCUUCGGGUUGUAAAACGAUUUCAGCAGGGGCGAAGCUUGUGGUGACGGUACCUGCAGAAGAAGCACCGGCUAACUACGUG